AGAGUUUGAUCAUGGCUCAGAAUCAACGCUGGCGGCGCGCCUAACACAUGCAAGUCGAACGAGAAAGUGGAGCAAUCCAUGAGUAAAGUGGCGUACGGGUGAGUAACACGUGGAUCAUCUACCUUUUAGUGGGGAAUAACCCUGGGAAACCGGGGAUAAUACCGCAUAAGCCCGAGAGGGGAAAGCAGCAAUGCGCUGAAAGAGGAGUCCGCGGCCGAUUAGCUAGUUGGCAGGGUAAAAGCCUACCAAGGCAGAGAUCGGUAGCCGGCCUGAGAGGGCACACGGCCACACUGGCACUGAAACACGGGCCAGACUCCUACGGGAGGCAGCAGUGGGGAAUCUUGCACAAUGGGGGAAACCCUGAUGCAGCGACGCCGCGUGAGCGAUGAAGCCCUUCGGGGUGUAAAGCUCCUUCGGCAGGGAAGAUUAUGACGGUACCUGCAGAAGCAGCUGCGGCUAACUACGUGCCAGCAGCCGCGGUAAUACGUAGGCAGCAAGCGUUGUUCGGAGUUACUGGGCGUAAAGGGUGUGUAGGCGGUUGUUUAAGUUUGGUGUGAAAUCUCCCGGCUCAACUGGGAGGGUGCGCCGAAUACUGAAUGACUUCGAGUGCGGGAGAGGAGAGUGGAAUUCCUGGUGUAGCGGUGAAAUGCGUAGAUAUCAGGAGGAACACCGGUGGUGUAGACGGCUCUCUGGACCGUAACUGACGCUGAGACACGAAAGCGUGGGUAGCAAACAGGAUUAGAUACCCUAGUAGUCC
RNAcentral lists this ribosomal RNA (757 nucleotides) under uncultured bacterium. RNAcentral describes it as "bacterial SSU rRNA". It matches the Rfam family "Bacterial small subunit ribosomal RNA", at positions 8 to 796 of the family's 1533-position model. The record is from RNAcentral.